CCUACGGGUGGCAGCAGUGGGGAAUAUUGGACAAUGGGGGGAACCCUGAUCCAGCCAUGCCGCGUGUGUGAAGAAGGCCCUCGGGUUGUAAAGCACUUUCAGUGAGGAAGAACGCCUGGUGGUUAAUACCCAUCAGGAAAGACUUCACUCACAGAAGAAGCACCGGCUAACUCCGUGCCAGCAGCCGCGGUAAUACGGAGGGUGCGAGCGUUAAUCGGAAUUACUGGGCGUAAAGCGCGCGUAGGUGGCUUGAUAAGCCGGUUGUGAAAGCCCCGGGCUCAACCUGGGAACGGCAUCCGGAACUGUCAAGCUAGAGUGCAGGAGAGGAAGGUAGAAUUCCCGGUGUAGCGGUGAAAUGCGUAGAGAUCGGGAGGAAUACCAGUGGCGAAGGCGGCCUUCUGGACUGACACUGACACUGAGGUGCGAAAGCGUGGGUAGCAAACAGGAUUAGAUACCCUGGUAGUC
Molecule: ribosomal RNA, 465 nt
Filed under: Vreelandella stevensii
Lineage: Bacteria; Pseudomonadati; Pseudomonadota; Gammaproteobacteria; Oceanospirillales; Halomonadaceae
Description: partial 16S ribosomal RNA
Rfam family: Bacterial small subunit ribosomal RNA
Source: RNAcentral